AUUGAACGCUGGCGGCAUGCUUUACACAUGCAAGUCGAACGGCAGCGCGGGGCAACCUGGCGGCGAGUGGCGAACGGGUGAGUAAUACAUCGGAACGUACCCAGAGGUGGGGGAUAACGUAGCGAAAGUUACGCUAAUACCGCAUACGUUCUACGGAAGAAGGUGGGGGAUCUUCGGACCUCAUGCUUUUGGAGCGGCCGAUGUCUGAUUAGCUAGUUGGUGAGGUAAAGGCUCACCAAGGCGACGAUCAGUAGCUGGUCUGAGAGGACGACCAGCCACCCUGGGACUGAGACACGGCCCAGACUCCUACGGGAGGCAGCAGUGGGGAAUUUUGGACAAUGGGCGCAAGCCUGAUCCAGCAAUGCCGCGUGAGUGAAGAAGGCCUUCGGGUUGUAAAGCUCUUUUGUCAGGGAAGAAACGGCUGGGGCUAAUACCUCUGGCUAAUGACGGUACCUGAAGAAUAAGCACCGGCUAACUACGUGCCAGCCGCCGCGGUAA
This 498-nucleotide ribosomal RNA is filed under the name uncultured bacterium. RNAcentral's name for it is "partial 16S ribosomal RNA". It matches the Rfam family "Bacterial small subunit ribosomal RNA", at positions 30 to 523 of the family's 1533-position model. The record is from RNAcentral.